RNAcentral lists this unclassified non-coding RNA (240 nucleotides) under soil metagenome. Its description in RNAcentral is "partial contains 5.8S ribosomal RNA, internal transcribed spacer 2, and large subunit ribosomal RNA". The record is from RNAcentral.
AACGCACGAGACCUGCGGACCUGCGGAAGGAUCAUUACCGAGUUCUCGCCCCUCGCGGGGUAGACCUCCCACCCACUGUGAUCACUACCGUCGUUGCUUUGGCGGGCCGCUGGGCCCAGCCCACCGCCGGCUCCGGCUGGCGCGUGCCCGCCAGAGGCCCUACAAACGCUGGAUAUCAGUGCCGUCUGAGUACACAUGUUAAUCGUUAAAACUUUCAACAAUGGAUCUCUAGAUCGGAAG